Myotis lucifugus (little brown bat) is the source of this 75-nucleotide non-coding RNA. The record is from Rfam. Lineage: Eukaryota; Metazoa; Chordata; Mammalia; Chiroptera; Vespertilionidae.
GGCAGUUCUCGGGUGAUGCACCCCGGAGUCAGGCUCCCUCCUCUCUGGUUCCGGGUGCGUCACCCUAGAACUGCA